RNAcentral lists this ribosomal RNA (399 nucleotides) under uncultured bacterium. RNAcentral's name for it is "bacterial SSU rRNA". It matches the Rfam family "Bacterial small subunit ribosomal RNA", at positions 359 to 775 of the family's 1533-position model. The record is from RNAcentral.
GAAUAUUGGACAAUGGGCGCAAGCCUGAUCCAGCCAUGCCGCGUGAGUGAUGAAGGCCUUAGGGUUGUAAAGCUCUUUUGUCCGGGAAGAUAAUGACGGUACCCGGAGAAGAAGCCCCGGCUAACUUCGUGCCAGCAGCCGCGGUAAUACGAAGGGGGCUAGCGUUGCUCGGAAUUACUGGGCGUAAAGGGCGCGUAGGCGGAUAUUUAAGUCAGGGGUGAAAGCCCGGGGCUCAACCUCGGAAUUGCCUUUGAUACUGGAUAUCUUGAGUUCGGGAGAGGUGAGUGGAAUGCCGAGUGUAGAGGUGAAAUUCGUAGAUAUUCGGCGGAACACCAGUGGCGAAGGCGACUCACUGGCCCGAUACUGACGCUGAGGCGCGAAAGCGUGGGGAGCAAACAG